AACGAACGCUGGCGGCAGGCCUAACACAUGCAAGUUGAACGCUCUAGCAAUAGAGAGUAGCGCACGGGUGCGUAACACGUGGGAAUAUGCCCUUCACUCCGGAACAACGUCGGGAAACUGACGCUAAUACCGUAUAAUGACUCCGGUCCAACGAUUUAUCGGUGAAGGAUUAGCCCGCGUCUGAUUAGCUAGUUGGUGAGGUAAUGGGUCACCAAGGCUACGAUCAGUAGCUGGUCUGAGAGGAUGAUCAGCCACACUGGAAUUGAGACACGGUCCAGACUCCUACGGGAGGCAGCAGUGAGGAAUAUUGGACAAUGGGCGCAAGCCUGAUCCAGCCAUGCCGCGUGAAUGAUGAAGGCCUUCGGGUUGUAAAGUUCUUUUAAUGGUGAAGAUAAUGACGGUAGCCAUAGAAAAAGCCCCGGCUAAAUUCGUGCCAGCAGCCGCGGUAA
Molecule: ribosomal RNA, 449 nt
Filed under: uncultured bacterium
Lineage: Bacteria
Description: partial 16S ribosomal RNA
Rfam family: Bacterial small subunit ribosomal RNA
Source: RNAcentral